GGACAGAUGUGUCCUCCUCACCUCUGAUCCUGAGAGUGUCAAAGCUCCUGGGAGUGGAGCUUCCUCUGUGUGUUGUGGGACUGGCUGCAGAGCUUGCGCCAGCCCCCAAAGGGCACUUUCUUAGCCUUACAGAUAAGUAUUAGGAAAGAUUCCAUACAGUUUAAGAACUGUGACAGGACACCUCCUCCUCGACUGCUAUCUUCUCUUCUACCUCCCACCCGUCUUUUUUUUUUCCUGAAGAAAUUGGACGAUUUGAUGUUACAAUGUGUAUUGAUAGAUAAUGUUCUUACACUAGGCAAGGUGUUGCUCAGGAAUCUUCUGGACUUCUCACUUAAAUUCUUCUGCAGCCCUUUGAAGACAAUUGUUUCAAACCCUACCAAAAUGGAUAAUGCAUCUACAGAAUGACAAUCAAGAAGACUCAUGGCUCCAGGAGCAUGCAUAUACCAGAGGAUUGUCAAGUCAGUUAUCAAUGGGAGGAGAGGACCUUGACCCUGUGAAGUUUCUAUGCCCCAUUGUAGGGGAAUGCCAGGGCCAGUAAGCAGGAGGGGGUGAGAUGGUGAUUAGGUGGAAG
Mastomys coucha (southern multimammate mouse) is the source of this 571-nucleotide long non-coding RNA. RefSeq lists it as uncharacterized. The record is from RefSeq and is a predicted model, not a curated record. Lineage: Eukaryota; Metazoa; Chordata; Mammalia; Rodentia; Muridae. The transcript is spliced from 3 exons.